CCCAGAACAUGUCAAAACAAAAACAUAAACCAGCGCGCAGCAGCCACUCAAACUCUCCUCUUGCGAGUGAAAAAUGCCCAGCGCUAGGGUUCCCCACCGCCGCCACCAGUCGCCCCGAGCCUCUCAGCCGCUCCGGUGACCUCCAAGGCUGCUGCCGCCGGCCUCACCGGUCGACACAGUCGUUGGUGUGCGCGACAUGUCGGGAGGGUAGGCCAUUCGGCCGCUCCACUGUCGGUCGGGCCUUACCUCCGGUCGCCGCCGGCUGCUCCUCAAAUCCUUAGCCUCCCCAACCUCUCAUCUACGCCCUUUGCUCUAUUCCUUGGGUCGUUGACCACCAACCCGUCGCCUUUGCAUCGAACAUCUCCGUCCUCGUCCGAGCCACCGUUGCCGCCCCAUCCUCCUCCAACCACGGACAAUCCCCAUCCAUAUGCCUAGCUAUGAAACUCCACUACAUGCUCUCUCCAUCUUAGUUUAUUUCCCCGGCUGUGUGCACGAUCGCAUAUCUUCUGGAUGGAAGUGUUUUAGUAUUUAUUCAUUGGAUCUAUGCGUAUUUUUUUCAGCUCAUCUCGUCAUGUGCUUUGUUUGGAGGAACUGGGACUCGCUUGGAUCUGGCACAGUGCUCUACCACCUCACCAAAUCGACUGUGUUUCACCUUUGGUACUAACUGCUCAACAAUGCUACAAGGGAUGCUCGUAAUUUUCCCACUUGGACCACCUGAUUGGGAUACUGUGGUGGACUUUGGGAGUUUGUUAGCCAGCUUUCUGACUCACUAUUUCAGCAAGCCUUUGGUAAGCAUUAAACUUUCCGCAUUACAUUUUUUCCUUAUGUGUACAUUUGUUUGCUUCCAAUUACUAUAUAUGUAUUGUUGUUGCUAAAUAGCUCAUCUUAAGUAUGAUGUGUUGAGCUUAAAUUAUCAAAUAGCUCAUAUAUUCCAUUUUCAACAUAGAAUUUGUUAAAUGGCAGUUCAUACAUGGAUGUAUAGUGAUUGGCAGUUUGUUCAAAUUCCUUCUAACCUAUGGCUUGAACAAACCAACCGAUUUCUAGACCAUGCAUUCUCUUUUCCUGGCGUAGCCGAAGGUGGUAAAAUCAAGUGUCCAUGUGCCAAGUGUCGUAAUUAUUUUAAGCGUGGUACGGAUGAGGUAGAGAAGCACUUCUAUAAAUAUGGAUUUAGGGAUUACUAUGAAAUGUGGACAGAACAUGGUGAGAUGUUCCUAGCCAAGACGGAUUCGCCUCUGCCACAAAUUGUGUAAGGCAUGAUGAAAUUGGCCAAAUGGUUAACCGAAUGGACAAUAUGUUAGUUGAGCUCGGUGGACCCUAUCCUCCACCAAUUGAUGAAGAACCAACAUCCUCUGCCAAGGUUUUCUAUAGGAUGGUUAGUAGUGCUGAUGAAAUUGUCCAUGAGAACACAACACACUCGCGUCUUUCUGCAGUAGCCCGUUUGCUUGCAAUGAAAUCUCAGUAUAAUAUGUCAAUUGCAGAAUAUGAUGUUGUGUUAAAAAUCACCCAUGAACUUAUGCCUCCAGGUGCUAACUUGUCCAAGGACUUCUACAAAUCUAAGAAACUCUUAGAAGGCCUUGGUAUGCCUUAUGUCAAAAUUGAUGUGUGUAAAAAUAACUGCAUGUUGUACUAUAAAGAUAAUGAGCAUAAAGAGAAGUGUGACAUAUGCGGUACAUCUCGCUACGAAGAAGGCCAGAAUAAAGUCCCACGUAAAGUGUUGAGAUACCUCCCUAUUAAAGAUAGAUUACAGAGGUUGUAUGCAGAGAAAUAUGGACCUGAAAGGGCUACCACGUUGAAUACAUAUGCUGCAAUGAAAUAUGGACUCAAGAAUUGGGAUGGCAGUGGUAGAACUAGCACGACCCUCAGCAGGAAGGCAAAAAAACUCUUCGAACAUUCUUUCUUAUCUUCUUUUCACUAAGUACUUGUUCUACAUGCAUCUAUACAAGUUAAUAUCGCUAGUGUUCUAGGAUGAUUACUCUGCUUUGGCUAGAGCCGCACAUCCUGAUGAUUGGGACCAGUGAGAGUUGGAUGGGCAAAUAUUAUAUGAAUCAUCAGGUGGCAUUCCCCAUGGGCGACUAGCAAUAGCAGAUGUGGCAAUUAAGAAGGCUGAUGUUAUCUCAAUGGCUAGAGAAAAGAAAUUGAGGCCCUCAACUUCAGUGGCACAUCGACGAACUGUUCAAGAAAAUGAAGAGCUGAAGCGACAUAAUGUGAACAUGCAGCGACAUAAUGAGAACCUACAACAUAAAGUGGAUAUGCAUGAACAGAUCCUAGUGGCCCUUUUUAAGGAGAUGGGAAAAGAAGUACCAGCAGAGCUAUGCCAAGGAGCGAGUUCCCAACCAUAUGUAAGUUUUUGCACAUGCCUUCUCAACGUACUGCAUUUCCAAAUUGCACCAUUGAGACUUUAGAACUUAAAGCACCCAAACUUAUGCUCAACACGUUUGGAUCCAUUUCUGUUUUCUUGAGAAUCUGUGCCAACUUAAUGUUGUGCAAACCCUAUUUGCUUAACCAUCAGCUAAAUUUUUUCUUGUAAUAGGCUUGCUCGGGAUUGAUUUUUUUUAUAUUAUAUUAAAUUGACACACAACCCUAAGCUAUAAUGCCAAUCCACUCCAUGAAAAGAUUUUAAAGAAAUACCUUUAACCUUAGUGUCAUUCCUGUACUAUAGUAUUGUUCAUCCUCAUAUCAAGAUAUAUACUUAGAAAAUAGUGUAUAUACUCAGUCUCAACAGUGAUGAUAAAAGGUUGUGUGAAGACCAGGAUUCAGAAGUAGUAGACUGAUUAGUAUCUUAUAUGUCUCUUACCACUUUGCAUGGUUCCUGAAGCAAUCUGUGCAUCUUUGAGAUCUGCUAUGGUUAGUGCCUCCAUAUCUCAUUUACAAGUAUAGACCACUUGAGAUCUUCAUGAUUUAGAGACCACUUGAAGCUAUAUAUUUACAUAGAACUAGAUGAGUCACCUACAUUCACAUUUUAGAACCAUGUAAAUCGCUGGAGUAUUUUUCUUCUCCAUUCACAUUUUAGACGCUUUCAAAAAAUAUUUAUAUCCUGAUAGUUUUAUUUAUGCAAUUUAGACUAACUAUAAAUCAAGUUCAUCGACCAUACAUGAUUGGGAUGUUCAUAGGUAUUGUAGAGCUUGUAAUCUUUCCCUGAUUUGUUGUAUGUGUCGCACUCUCAACUCUAUGGUUCUGUUCUAUAAAAAAAUGAAUAGAUUUCUCUUCCAUUGCCCCCAUUCAACAUAAAAAUUAUUUCAAAUUGAGCUCGUUGAUCUUACAUGAUUGCGAUAUAUUAUUUCAAUAAUAUCAUAAUGCCAAAUAUUAUGUUGCCAUAUAUAUGCUCUUUGGACUACGGUAUUGAUAUGAAGACAUUUGUUGUAAUGCUAAAUAUUAUGUAGUAAUGCAAAAUAUUAUGACAUGGAUGUGAUAUGGAUCAUACUAUAUAUAUAUAUAUAUGGAUGGGAUAUUAAUUA
Molecule: long non-coding RNA, 3455 nt
Organism: Hordeum vulgare subsp. vulgare (domesticated barley)
Lineage: Eukaryota; Viridiplantae; Streptophyta; Magnoliopsida; Poales; Poaceae
Exons: 3
Source: RefSeq, a predicted model, not a curated record